UUCCUACUUGUUUUAUUAGUUACACCAGCUUUCUUACCCUUUCUGCUUUGUUUCCCUGGCAUGCAGAAAAAAGUAAAUAGUGCUGAUGCAGAGGAAGACUGUGCAAGACUCCGGCUUGAAAAGAAGGAAUAGAGUCAGAAGUUGUUUGCAAGUUUUCUUCUGCCUUACUGAGGACUGGUGAGAACAGUGGGGGACAGAAAUGUUGUCUUGCUUGAUUUUCCCAAGAGUCAUGUGAAAACACCUGUGAUUUUUAAUUGAUUUAAUUAAUGGGUAAACUGGAUGAAGCUGAAUGUAAGUUUGUGUUUGGAAGAGGAGAAGAAGUGCUGAAGCAAGAGAACCAGUAGUUUUCUCUACUGGGAGAAGGGAAGAGCCUGUUUCCUGCUACAAAGCUCAUGUUUGAGGAGAACAGAGGACACAAGUAGUUUUUACCCGAAAAUGUGCUGAUAUGUGAGUAUAUGCAGGUGGACAGAAACCUCAUAUUUUCAUUCAGGUGAGCUUAAUAAACCACUAUGCCACUGAUGUCA
Molecule: long non-coding RNA, 524 nt
Filed under: Manacus vitellinus (golden-collared manakin)
Lineage: Eukaryota; Metazoa; Chordata; Aves; Passeriformes; Pipridae
Description: lncRNA (ENSMVIG00005014039.1)
Source: RNAcentral